CUUAACACAUGCAAGUCGAGGGGCAUCAUGUCGGUUGCUUGCAACCGAUGAUGGCGACCUCCGCACGGGUGAGUAACGCGUAUCCAACCUUCCGCACACUAAGGGAUAACCCGUUGAAAGACGGCCUAAUACCUUAUGUUCUCCACGGCAGACAUCUAAUGUGGAGCAAAGAUUCAUCGGUGUGUGAUGGGGAUGCGUCUGAUUAGGCAGUUGGCGGGGUAACGGCCCACCAAACCGACGAUCAGUAGGGGUUCUGAGAGGAAGGUCCCCCACAUUGGAACUGAGACACGGUCCAAACUCCUACGGGAGGCAGCAGUGAGGAAUAUUGGUCAAUGGGCGAGAGCCUGAACCAGCCAAGUAGCGUGCAGGACGACGGCCCUAUGGGUUGUAAACUGCUUUUAUGCGGGGAUAAAACGCGGGACGUGUCCCGCCUUGCAGGUACCGCAUGAAUAAGGACCGGCUAAUUCCGUGCCAGCAGCCGCGGUAAUACGGAAGGUCCGGGCGUUAUCCGGAUUUAUUGGGUUUAAAGGGAGCGUAGGCCGCUUUGUAAGCGUGUUGUGAAAUUUGCCGGCUCAACCGGUAACUUGCAGCGCGAACUGCAGAGCUUGAGUGUGCGCAACGUUGGCGGAAUUCGUCGUGUAGCGGUGAAAUGCUUAGAUAUGACGAAGAACUCCGAUUGCGAAGGCAGCUGACGGGAGCACUACUGACGCUGAAGCUCGAAAGUGCGGGUAUCGAACAGGAUUAGAUACCCUGGUAGUCCGCACGGUAAACGAUAAAUGCCCAGCUGUUUGCACAUAGUUGCAAGCGGCCAAGCGAAAACGCUUAAGCAUCCCACCUGGGGAAGGACGCAGGCUCCGGUGAAACUCUAAGGCAUCGACGGGGGCCCGCACACAGCGGAGAGAACAUGUGGUAUAAUUCGAUGACCUGAGAGGAACCUUACCCGGACUUGAAAUGCAAGAGAACAAUCCAGAGAUGGUGAGGUCCCUCGGGACUCCUGUGAAGGUGCUGCAUGGUUGUCGUCAGCUCGUGCCGUGAGGUGUCGGGUUAAGUCCCAUAACGAGCGCAACCCCUUUCCUCAGUUGCCAUCAGUUCGAGCUGGGCACUCUGGGGACACUGCCACCGCAAGGUGUGAGGAAGGUGGGGAUGACGUCAAAUCAGCACGGCCCUUAUGUCCGGGGCUACACACGUGUUACAAUGGGGGGUACAGAGAGCCGGUGGCGCGCAAGCUCCAUCCAAUCCUUAAAGCCCUCCUCAGUUCGGACUGGGGUCUGCAACCCGACCCCACGAAGCUGGAUUCGCUAGUAAUCGCGCAUCAGCCAUGGCGCGGUGAAUACGUUCCCGGGCCUUG
This 1348-nucleotide ribosomal RNA is filed under the name uncultured bacterium. RNAcentral describes it as "partial 16S ribosomal RNA". It matches the Rfam family "Bacterial small subunit ribosomal RNA", at positions 47 to 1383 of the family's 1533-position model. The record is from RNAcentral.